RNAcentral lists this unclassified non-coding RNA (249 nucleotides) under Hevea brasiliensis (rubber tree). The record is from RNAcentral. Lineage: Eukaryota; Viridiplantae; Streptophyta; Magnoliopsida; Malpighiales; Euphorbiaceae.
GCUAUCUCUAAUGGCUUUUAGUCCAUCUGUUAGUUUCUGUAAUUAUAUAUAUAUUUAUGUGUUUAUUUCUUAACUUCUAAUUAUCAAGCAGCAAAAUGAAUUUUUAAAAUAGUAAUAAUGAUGAUUCAUGGUUGACUGGUUGUGAUCAUCAUUUUUUUUUCAUCAACUGUGAUAAUUUAUUUCCAUAUUCUCAUGCAUAUAAGUAAUUUUUAAAUAAAAUCUUUCACCAAUAUUUCAUCUUUUUUUUUU